CCAAAUCUUAUCCUCUCUCUCUAAACACACUCUCUCUCUCUCUCUCUCACUCACAAUCACAAACCCGUCUCUCAGCACCAUCAUUGUCAUUACCACCACCUUCCUCCGGUCAACACCACCGAGUACUUGGGAUCAAACUCAUUCAAGGCAUUCAAAGUCGAUCAAAACUUCUUAUUCCUAACACAAAAUGAUAAUUAUCAUUUCAAUAUCCUACCAUUAAUAACUAAGCUACCAUUAAAGACUUCUCUUUCCACACAGACGACCAUUAAUGAAGUGUGGAAGAAACAAGGUGGCUGCAAUUUAUAACCCAUUAUAAACUUCCAUAAAACUCACAUCUAACCACCAAAUUAGUGUCAUUGUCAAGCUUCCAUUGCCUGUACCGACCACCAUCUCUAAAAUCAGAUCUAGUUUGUUCAUCAUCUUCAUAUCCCCUCUCUCUAGCUUCAACCAACCUUCACCGCCACCUGUGACCGCCACCACUGACCACUAUCUUCAUCGCACUACCACCUGUGAUUGUCACCAUCUCUAAAUCAGAUUUGAUUCGUUAAUUGCAGAUCUAAAAACACAGGUUCGUAAACGACCACCAUCUUCAUCGGCGACCCUACACCACCUUGAUCCUAAGUCGACGACCCCACUCUUCUGCUGUAAUGACUGCAUCACCUUGAAUCUCCGAGUCUCCGACUAAUACAAAUUCAGUGGGAUCCUCAAUGCGCCGCCAUCAUCCAGCCAGAACUCAUCGGAGAAAACCUAUAUUCUCCACAUGAAAUGCUGAUGGAUUGUGGUGGUGGCAGUUGACGACAACUGGUACAGAGAAGAGAAGGGGAAAUGAUUUAGGUCUGGGUAGGGGUGUUCAAAAAACUCGUGGCUCGCAGCUCGUUCGAAACUCGCUCGAAUUUUAAUCGAGUCGAGCUCGAGCCUCAAAUCUCAGCUCGAUUUGAAAUUCGAGCUCGAGCCAAGCCAACUCGAAUUAAGUUCGAGCCGAGCUCGAGCCGGGUCGAGCUCGGUUCGACUCGGCUCGUUUACAGCCCUAGGUCUGGGUUCUUUAUUUUGGGGGAAAAUUGGAGAGGGCAGUGGAAAAGACAGAUUUACCCUCAAGUGACAUGCACAUGAUCCUAUUUAACCAAAAGAAUUAACUGGGUUAGGCUUAAAGGACAUACAGUGCAAGAUUUUGAAACAUAAAGGACAUCGCCUGACAAUUUUAAAGGUAAAGGACAGCGCCUGAAAUUUGAUGCAAACAUAAAGGACAAAACUUGUAAUUUACUCUAUUACAAAUCAUAAACUAACUGUAUUAUAUAAUAGUUAUAGAUAUAGGUAAAGGAUCAAAUAAAAAUAAAAUUAUCGUACGAAAUGUACGUACGAAUUGGGGAAAAAAGCAAAAAAGUGGCGGUGGCAAUCUGGUAAUUAUCAACAACUUCAAAAUUACUAGGGAAAAAACAAAAAGUGACGGUGAUAAUUACCAAAAUGCCACCGCCACUUUUUGCUUUUCCCCCAAUUCGUACGCUUAGUAUGUUAAUUUUAUUUUUACAUGAACUUAACUCUAUAGAUAUAUCAUAUAUGCAUGGUUAAGUUUAUAAAGUUACCUGACAUUAAUUACAUCAUCAACUCUUCCAGUGAUCCAAUAAUAUCCAUCCUUGUCUCUGAAACGAAAACGAGUUAUCACUCAAGUAACAGAUGAAGCAAAAAAAUUUAUACGAAUGCGCGCUUUUACCAUAAAGGUUCUUUAUUUGUGUUCUUUACUUACUUAACGUGUAAAGAAAUAUUCAAUUACCUUCUGCAGCCAUCACCGCUGAAAUAAUAACCAGGGAACGCGCUGAAAUAAGUUGUUUCGUAUCUUUCAUGAUCUCCGAAAAGAGUCCUGAACGCUCCGGGCCAUGAGGUUUUAACGCAUAAAUAGCCGCUGCACUCACCUUCCAUUUCCUUUCCCUUUUCAUCCACUAUGACUGGCUGCAUUUAUUUUAUAUUUUGGAGUGUGAUUUAGACGGGUCGUUAAAGAUUGAAAAUAUACGUGUAUAUAUAUAUUUUAUAAAAAUACUAUAAGCUCGAUAUAUACCAGAACACCGAAAAAUGGAAAAGUAGCGGAACCUGGUUUUUGAGGCCAUGCACCAGGCAAAGGAGUGAUCUAAAAAGCAAGAACGGUUAAGCUCGAUUUUUAUAAAUCAUGUAAAUACAUAUAUGGUGAUAUGUGCAUAAAUAGUUA
This 2197-nucleotide long non-coding RNA is filed under the name Helianthus annuus (common sunflower). RNAcentral describes it as "hypothetical non coding rna". The record is from RNAcentral. Lineage: Eukaryota; Viridiplantae; Streptophyta; Magnoliopsida; Asterales; Asteraceae.